GAUGAACGCUGACAGAAUGUUUAACACAUGCAAGUCAACUUGAACUUCGGUUUGGGUGGCGGACGGGUGAGUAACGCGUAAAGAACUUGCCUCACAGCUAGGGACAACAUUUGGAAACGAAUGCUAAUACCUGAUAUUAUGAUUUUAGGGCAUCCUAGAAUUAUGAAAGCUAUAUGCGCUGUGAGAGAGCUUUGCGUCCCAUUAGCUAGUUGGAGAGGUAACGGCUCACCAAGGCGAUGAUGGGUAGCCGGCCUGAGAGGGUGAACGGCCACAAGGGGACUGAGACACGGCCCUUACUCCUACGGGAGGCAGCAGUGGGGAAUAUUGGACAAUGGACCAAGAGUCUGAUCCAGCAAUUCUGUGUGCACGAUGAAGUUUUUCGGAAUGUAAAGUGCUUUCAGUUGGGAAGAAAAAAAUGACGGUACCAACAGAAGAAGUGACGGCUAAAUACGU
RNAcentral lists this ribosomal RNA (453 nucleotides) under uncultured bacterium. RNAcentral describes it as "partial 16S ribosomal RNA". It matches the Rfam family "Bacterial small subunit ribosomal RNA", at positions 28 to 506 of the family's 1533-position model. The record is from RNAcentral.